CCUACGGGUGGCAGCAGUGAGGAAUAUUGGUCAAUGGGCGAGAGCCUGAACCAGCCAAGUCGCGUGAGGGACGACGGUCCUAUGGAUUGUAAACCUCUUUUGUCGGGGAACAAAGGCGCCCACGGGUGGGCGGAUGAGUGUACCCGAAGAAAAAGCAUCGGCAAAGUCCGUGCCAGCAGCCGCGGUAAGACGGGGGAUGCAAGCGUUAUCCGGAUUGAUUGGGUUUAAAGGGUGCGUAGGCGGACAGUCAAGUCAGCGGUAAAAAUGCGGUGCUCAACGCCGUACAGCCGUUGAAACUGGCAGUCUUGAGUGGGCGAGAAGUAUGCGGAAUGCGUGGUGUAGCGGUGAAAUGCAUAGAUAUCACGCAGAACUCCGAUGGCGAAGGCAGCAGACCGGCGCCCUACUGACGCUGAGGCACGAAAGCGUGGGUAUCGAAUAGGAUUAGAUACCCGUGUAGUC
Molecule: ribosomal RNA, 459 nt
Filed under: uncultured bacterium
Lineage: Bacteria
Description: partial 16S ribosomal RNA
Rfam family: Bacterial small subunit ribosomal RNA
Source: RNAcentral